UNGCCUCAAAAGUAAACUCCUUACGGUCAC
RNAcentral lists this non-coding RNA (30 nucleotides) under Mus musculus (house mouse). The record is from RNAcentral. Lineage: Eukaryota; Metazoa; Chordata; Mammalia; Rodentia; Muridae.